UUAGAGUUUGAUCCUGGCUCAGGAUGAACGCUAGCGGGAGGCCUUUCCUUGCACUCCGAGCGGUAUUGUUUCUUCGGUGUGAGAGAGCGGCGUACGGGUGCGUAACACGUGUGCAACCUGCCUGUAUCUGGGGGAUAGCCUUUCGAAAGGAAGAUUAUUACUCCAUAACAUAUUGAACGGCAUCGUUUAAUAUUGAAAGCUCCGGCGGAUAGACAUGGGCACGCGCAAAAUUAGCUAGUUGGCGAGGUAACGGCUCACCCCCGCGAUGAUCUUAAGGGGGCCUGAGAGGGUGAUCCCCCACACUGGUACUGAGACACGGACCAGACUCCUACGGGAGGNAGCAGUGAGGAAUAUUGGUUUUGGGUGCCAGCCUGAACCAGCCAUCCCGCGUGAAGGACGACUGCCCUAUGGGUUGUAAACUUCUUUUGUAUAGGGAUAAACCUCCCCUCCAGAGGGUAGCUGAAGGUACUAUACGAAUAAUCACCGGCUAACUCCGUGCCUCCUCCGCGCUAAUACGGAGGGUGCAAGCGUUAUCCGGAUUUAUUGGGUUUAAAGGCUCCGUAUGCGGACUUAUAAGUCUGUGGCGAAACCCCGUCGCUUACCUAUACACCUGCCAUUGAUACUGUUAGUCUUGAGUAUAUUUGAGGCCGCUGGAAUAUGCAGUGCAUCGGCGAAAUGCAUAGACAUUCCUCACAACACCAAUUGCGAAGGCAGGCUACCAAUAUAUCACCUGACGCUGAGUCACGAACGUGUG
Molecule: ribosomal RNA, 754 nt
Filed under: uncultured bacterium
Lineage: Bacteria
Description: bacterial SSU rRNA
Rfam family: Bacterial small subunit ribosomal RNA
Source: RNAcentral